Molecule: ribosomal RNA, 477 nt
Filed under: Triticum aestivum (bread wheat)
Lineage: Eukaryota; Viridiplantae; Streptophyta; Magnoliopsida; Poales; Poaceae
Description: partial small subunit ribosomal RNA
Source: RNAcentral
AUGGACGGCAACAAGAAGCUUGUGACCGCGGCCGAGAAGACCAUUCCAGCUACCGUCCAGCGGGCCAGCAGAUGGGCGCUCUACAACGCCUGCUUCACCGUGGGCCACGCGGUCACCUACGCACUCCUCCAGUCCUCCUUCGCCCUGCGGUGCGUCCAGUGGACGGACGCCAAGGCCGCCCAGGAGAGCGCCCUCUGUCUCUGGAUGCUGCGCUGCGCCGUACUCCAGGCGGCCGCGGCGGCGCUGGCGCUGCACCUGUCGUGCCGCCGCCGCUGGGUCCGCCACGCCCUGGCCUACCUCGCGCUCGUGGUCGCCUUCGUCGGCCACUGCAUGUACGUCGCCGCCGUCCGCCUCCUCCUCGCCGCUGACUGCCCUGGAUACGUCUUGCUCAGGAUCUUGUGCACCGCGUACAUUGCCUUCUUCCUAUGGGGCGACCUGCUCUACUUCCUUGGCCUCCUCCUGGGAGGUGACAACUGA